Long non-coding RNA from Cyprinodon tularosa, 302 nucleotides. RefSeq lists it as uncharacterized. The transcript has 3 exons. The record is from RefSeq and is a predicted model, not a curated record. NCBI's taxonomy places the organism in Eukaryota, Metazoa, Chordata, Actinopteri, Cyprinodontiformes, Cyprinodontidae.
CCUGCUGCAGGAACAUCUGGGUCCCAAUCAUCUACCAUUAAACACCUCCCGUCUUCACUGGAACCAGCGAUGGAUGAAAGCAGCGUUCCAACCUCAGACUUCCUCUCUGUGGAAAUGUUCCUGUCUGAUAAAGCUGUGAAGUUGUUUGCGGGGCUCGAACCACCAACUCCUGCAGAGAGGCGUCACACAAUGAAGACUCUGCUGCAAAUGUUCUGGAUUCAUUCAGCUUCACUGAAGGAAUCAGAUGGUUUUCUGCAGGGAGAGAAGCCUUCCUAAGAAAAUACACAGCAGAGCGUCUAAAG